GUGUCAGCAGCCGCGGUAACACGUAGGAGACAAGCGUUAUCCGGAUUUACUGGGCGUAAAGCGCGUGCAGGCGGUUUGGAAAGUUGGAUGUGAAAGCUCCCGGCUUAACUGGGAGAGGUCAUUCAAAACUUCCAGACUAGAGAGUGGUAGAGGAAGGUGGAAUUCCGGGUGUAGUGGUGAAAUGCGUAGAUAUCCGGAGGAACACCAGUGGCGAAAGCGGCCUUCUGGACCAUUUCUGACGCUCAGACGCGAAAGCUAGGGUAGCAAACGGGAUUAGAGACCCCGGUAGUCCUAGCCGUAAACUAUGUUGACUUGGCGUUGGUGGGUUAAUAUCCGCCAGUGCCGUAGCUAACGCGAUAAGUCAACCGCCUGGGGACUACGAUCGCAAGAUUAAAACUCAAAGGAAUUGGCGGGG
Molecule: ribosomal RNA, 415 nt
Filed under: uncultured prokaryote
Description: bacterial SSU rRNA
Rfam family: Bacterial small subunit ribosomal RNA
Source: RNAcentral